UUGGAAGUGGAUGUUAUUACUCAGUUGUUGGCACAGUUGGCAGCUAUGGCGAAGAAAAUAGAUUCAAUAGCCGAGAGAAAAGCGAAAAUAGUUGCCUUUGUAUGUGAGAUCCGUACAGGAUCACACUCCAUGGAUCAAUGUGUUAUUAGCUCGAAGUCGGUACAGUAUAUGGGAAAUUACAUGAAAGACCAAGGACAGUUUCAGAACACAUAUAACCCAAACAACCGCAAUCAUCCAAACUUCAGUUGGUCAAAUAACCAAGGGCAUCAGCAGAAUCAGUUUCAGCCGAAUCAACAAUUUCAGUCACAGCCAUCUUAACCACAGUUUACACCAAAACCUGUGACGACCCCAAAUCCGGAUACUUGAAACCCGAACUCGGUUCUCCACGAUACCAUUUCUUUAAGCUGAAUAAUACUAAAUAAUAAUAAUAAUAUAAUUCGAACUUAAUUUACAUACAUCAAAGUUUACUUCCCCAAGUACGUGACCUUCAAAUACAUUCCUUACAAUACCUGACAAUAGAUUCUAUUGUCUUACUAACUAUAACCAUUAACUCAUACUAAAUCUCAUUCGAACAGCUUUUCUUUUCCCUUGUUCGUGCCUGAGCCUUCAGGUCGAUCGUACGUAACUGAAAACAUUUAGUUUAAGCAAGGAUGAGCAUUUGAGUGCCCAGCAAGUAAUAGCAAUUAUAUAUAUAAGCUGAAAGAAUAU
Molecule: long non-coding RNA, 708 nt
Filed under: Panax ginseng (ginseng)
Lineage: Eukaryota; Viridiplantae; Streptophyta; Magnoliopsida; Apiales; Araliaceae
Description: long non-coding RNA (PGIN_LNC012717)
Source: RNAcentral